AGAGAGCUUGCUUUCUCGAGCGAGUGGCGAACGGGUGAGUAACGCGUGAGUAACCUGCCCUGGAGUGGGGGACAACAGUUGGAAACGACUGCUAAUACCGCAUAAUACUUUCGAGCGGCAUCGUUUGAAAGUCAAAGAUUUAUUGCUGAAAGAUGGCCUCGCGUCUGAUUAGCUAGUUGGUGAGGUAACGGCCCACCAAGGCGACGAUCAGUAGCCGGACUGAGAGGUUGACCGGCCACAUUGGGACUGAGAUACGGCCCAGACUCC
This 267-nucleotide ribosomal RNA is filed under the name uncultured Oscillospiraceae bacterium. Its description in RNAcentral is "partial 16S ribosomal RNA". It matches the Rfam family "Bacterial small subunit ribosomal RNA", at positions 73 to 339 of the family's 1533-position model. The record is from RNAcentral. Lineage: Bacteria; Bacillati; Bacillota; Clostridia; Eubacteriales; Oscillospiraceae.